CCUUGGUGGGGUCCCUAGGUUUAAGAUCUUUGAUUAACUGCUAUUUUGCUAAACAAGUAAAGAAAACAAUAUAUUCAUUUAUUUUUGCAAACAGUUGACCUCAGAAUAUGUCGCAAUGGCAGUGGUUUCUCUCUGCUUGGCAAGUCACUCUCUUCUCUCUCAACCCAUUCCUCAGAAGAAGUUUCUCCUUCUCUGCUUGCUGAAGAUUGUCAUCAAAUGCAGUGUUCCUGGUCACGUGUGGGAGAGAUCCUGACAGACGCCAGCAAGCAUCCAAACACUCAGAAAUGCAAGUAUUGAAGACAAGUAUGACCUAUUUGUCAGCAUUUGUAUCCUACCAGUGUCCACUGUCCGGCUCCAGCAGCCCGAGUCCAGCAGCACAAGGCAUCUCUGGUCCUUAUGCCCUGCAGAGAAAUCAAAGAAUCCAAGAGCAAGGCCUGGAAUGCCUGGCUGCCUCCCAGCUCUCUUACGAAGAAGUAAAUUCCAUUGUAGUCUCCGGCUCCUUUCCGCACUCUUGGAAUACUGUACGCCAGACCCUCUCUCCCUCCGACAAGCGACUGCUCGGCCACAGCAGGAAGCACAGAAAUCUUAAAACGUAAACUCAGAGUGCUCCCCACAUUUAUUUUCUACCGUCUUACCCGUCUGUCCCGCCAGAGACUGCAGGCGUCGUGACUUUCUCCAUGCUCUGGACUGUCGCAUGGUCCCUGUUGCUAGUGGCUCUUUGAACUGAUCCCAAGCCCAUGUCAGAAAAGCCCUUGAUCGAUUCCCAGUGCCAUCCUGAACAGCAGAUUGGGAUAUCGCACCUUUAAACCGCACGGCCUGGUAAACAAUACAGCAUGUACUCAGCUUCAUAAACACUCCGCGUUGUUACAAAGGGCAUUGCAAACUCAGUGUGAUAGGACUUGACCUUAAAAGCUAUAGACAAUCUAGCGGAGCACAGACGGUUUCAUAAAGUACAAUCACUUCCUGGAAUUCUUGGGCCAGUGCAGUCGGAGCCGUUCAAAUCCUGUUUUCCUUGCAUUGUUUCCUGCAUGUGAAUAUCAUCAGUCUAGCUGGACUGUAACCAUGGCACUUGUAAACAGCCCAGGGGCGACUUCUGAUAAAGGCAUACAGUUUUAAGAAAAAAAAUUUUUUUUUCUCUUAAAGACAAGCCCGAAUCAAACCCUACAAAUGCCAUCUGUCAACUACAAAGCUGACAAAUUGCAGUUUCAAGAGUGCACACAUCCAGACCCAGAGAUGUUUUUAAGUCACCAAAGGAGUCAAAACAGAUGCCCAUACUAUUGAGAGUAGUGUGAACGGGUUUUCACUUUUUAGAAUGUAGAUUUACACAAAUCCCGUAGAGAGGGAGCUGAUGGACACUGACCGGAAUCCUAAGUGAUUCUUUCCAUAGUAUUUUUCUCCUCCAGUGAAUGAGAUUGGGAAAUCAUAAUUGUUCAGUCCUUCAGUUUCUCUGAUCAGUGAUAGGAAGAGAAGAUAUUGAUGUAAACCCCUUGAAAUACUUAGCUUAAGACUGUUACUCUCUAGGAGUUUGACAUCACUGUUGGGCAAUUACAUUCCAGCUGUAUUUGGUACUUGAUGGGUUCCAAUUUAUACUUAGAGAUGAUAUUAAGGGGCAGACAGGCCAAAAUAGACCACUGUAACCUCACAGAAAAUCAAUCCAAAGAUAUACUUUCCAGAUUCGCUAUAAAUGUAUAAAAUUUGCACCUGGUGAAUUAAUCUUGAUACUUCAGGCUUCUGCAUGAUUGAAAUGUUGGUUGAGCUGACGUUGUAAGUUAAAAAUUUUUAGCAGAUUUAAUAUAUGAUGGCUAUUGAACAAGAUACUGACAACAGUAUUUUAAGCUUCUGAGAAGGAUUCCUUAAGGGAGGAAUAAAGAAAAGAGAAGCUCAUAAAACUCUCAGUUAUGUAUUCAUAGACACCUAUGUUUGAUUUUCUAAGAUUAAAACUAAAUUAUUCUUAAAAUAAGUAAUGGGGGAGCAUAUACAGCAGAGGGAGGAUAUUAAAUACUGCAUUGUAUAUUUGCUAAGUUGUGUUGUUGCUAGGAGCGUAGAUCUUUUUUUUUUAAGGUAUUUUUAUUUAUUUAUGAUAGUCACAGAGAGAGAGAGAGAGAGAGGCAGAGACACAGGCAGAGGAAGAAACAGGCUCCAUGCUCCGGGAGCCCGACGUGGGAUUCGAUCCUGAGUCUGCAGGAUCGCGCCCUGGGCCAAAGGCAGGCGCUAAACCGCUGCGCCACCCAGGGAUCCCAGGAGGGUAGAUCUUAAAAAUUUUCAUCACAAGAAAAAAAAUUUGUAACUAUGUAUGGUGAUGGAUGUUAAGUAGAUUUAUUGUGGUGUCAUUUUGCAACAUUUACAAAUAUCAACUUACUAUGUUAUGUGCCUGAAGCUAACAUAAUGUUGUAUGUCAAUUGUAUCUCAGUAAAAUCAAAUAAAUAAAACUUUGAAUUAUUUCUAUUUCUAAAUUUUAUUUUAUUUAUUUAUUUUUUUGAAGAUUUUAUUUAUUUAUUCAUGAGCGACAAGAGAGAGGCAGAGAUACAGGCAGAGGGAGAAGCAGGCUUCCUGUGGGGAGCCUUAUGCAGAACUAGAUCCCAGGACCCGGGGAUCAUGACCAGAGCCAAAGGCAGACGCUCAACCCCUGAGCCACCUAGGUGCCCCUCUAUUUCUAAAUUUUAAAUUAAACUCAGUAAUAUAUGGUUAAUAUUUUCAUGUGAAUUUCAAGAAUCAUUUCAAAGCCUUUGGGUAAAAAUUAAAUC
RNAcentral lists this long non-coding RNA (2744 nucleotides) under Canis lupus familiaris (dog). Its description in RNAcentral is "lncRNA (ENSCAFG00040017252.1)". Lineage: Eukaryota; Metazoa; Chordata; Mammalia; Carnivora; Canidae. The record is from RNAcentral.